GGGGAUGUAGCUCAGUUGGUAAGUGCUUGCCUCACAUGCCCAAGGCCCUGGGUUCAAUCCCCAGCACCACCA
RNAcentral lists this transfer RNA (72 nucleotides) under Urocitellus parryii (Arctic ground squirrel). RNAcentral describes it as "Spermophilus parryii (Arctic ground squirrel) tRNA". It matches the Rfam family "tRNA". Rfam says of the family: Transfer RNA (tRNA) molecules are approximately 80 nucleotides in length. Their secondary structure includes four short double-helical elements and three loops (D, anti-codon, and T loops). Further hydrogen bonds mediate the characteristic L-shaped molecular structure. tRNAs have two regions of fundamental functional importance: the anti-codon, which is responsible for specific mRNA codon recognition, and the 3' end, to which the tRNAs corresponding amino acid is attached (by aminoacyl-tRNA synthetases). tRNAs cope with the degeneracy of the genetic code in two manners: having more than one tRNA (with a specific anti-codon) for a particular amino acid; and 'wobble' base-pairing, i.e. permitting non-standard base-pairing at the 3rd anti-codon position. RNAcentral also lists the same sequence under 1 other name. Lineage: Eukaryota; Metazoa; Chordata; Mammalia; Rodentia; Sciuridae. The record is from Rfam by way of RNAcentral.